GCUCAGGACGAACGCUGGCGGCGUGCCUAAUACAUGCAAGUAGGACGCUGACAUUUAGUGCUUGCACUAGAUGGAGGAGUUGCGAACGGGUGAGUAACGCGUAGGUAACCUGCCUGGUAGCGGGGGAUAACUAUUGGAAACGAUAGCUAAUACCGCAUAAGAGUCAGUAACACAUGUUAGUGAUUUAAAAGGUGCAGCUGCAUCACUACCAGAUGGACCUGCGUUGUAUUAGCUAGUUGGUAGGGUAAAGGCCUACCAAGGCGACGAUACAUAGCCGGCCUGAGAGGGUGAACGGCCACACUGGGACUGAGACACGGCCCAGACUCCUACGGGAGGCAGCAGUAGGGAAUCUUCGGCAAUGGGGGGGACCCUGACCGAGCAACGCCGCGUGAGUGAAGAAGGUUUUCGGAUCGUAAAGCUCUGUUGUAAGAGAAGAACGUUGAUGAGAGUGGAAAGUUCAUCAAGUGACGGUAACUUACCAGAAAGGGACGGCUAACUACGUGCCAGCAGCCGCGGUAAUACGUAGGUCCCGAGCGUUGUCCGGAUUUAUUGGGCGUAAAGCGAGCGCAGGCGGUUUAGAAAGUCUGAAGUUAAAGGCAGUGGCUUAACCAUUGUAUGCUUUGGAAACUGCUAGGCUUGAGUGCAGAAGGGGAGAGUGGAAUUCCAUGUGUAGCGGUGAAAUGCGUAGAUAUAUGGAGGAACACCGGUGGCGAAAGCGGCUCUCUGGUCUGUAACUGACGCUGAGGCUCGAAAGCGUGGGUAGCGAACAGGAUUAGAUACCCUGGUAGUCCACGCCGUAAACGAUGAGUGCUAGGUGUUGGGUCCUUUCCGGGACUCAGUGCCGACGCAAACGCAUUAAGCACUCCGCCUGGGGAGUACGACCGCAAGGUUGAAACU
RNAcentral lists this ribosomal RNA (897 nucleotides) under Streptococcus sp. Its description in RNAcentral is "bacterial SSU rRNA". It matches the Rfam family "Bacterial small subunit ribosomal RNA", at positions 22 to 901 of the family's 1533-position model. The record is from RNAcentral. Lineage: Bacteria; Bacillati; Bacillota; Bacilli; Lactobacillales; Streptococcaceae.